This 607-nucleotide ribosomal RNA is filed under the name Placopsis hertelii. RNAcentral describes it as "eukaryotic LSU rRNA". The record is from RNAcentral. Lineage: Eukaryota; Fungi; Ascomycota; Lecanoromycetes; Trapeliales; Trapeliaceae.
UAGAGGAAGUAAAAGUCGUAACAAGGUUUCCGUAGGUGAACCUGCGGAAGGAUCAUUACCGAGCGAGGGUCCCURCCCGGGGCCCGACCCUCCACCCGUGCCGUAUCGACCUCUUUGUUGCUUUGACGGCCUGCAAGGCUCCCUYUACCGGRAGUCUUCCGCUGGCUUCCAGCGGAGAAGCAUCCRUCAGAGACCACACUCAACCCUUCGUAAUCCAUGUUGUCCGAGCUAUGAUAAAUAAUUUAAAACUUUCAACAACGGAUCUCUUGGUUCUGGCAUCGAUGAAGAACGCAGCGAAAUGCGAUAAGUAAUGUGAAUUGCAGAAUUCAGUGAAUCAUCGAAUCUUUGAACGCACAUUGCGCCCCCUGGCAUUCCGGGGGGCAUGCCUGUCCGAGCGUCAUUACAUCCCUCGAGCCUGGCUCGGUAAUGGAGAUCGCCCCGCGGGACGUCUCCCAAAAGCAGCGCGCGAGGCCCUUGGAUCGUUCGGCGAAGUAUGACUUACGUUCCGCCGCUACGUCCGGGUGCCUCUGCCAGACAACUUGCUUUACGCAUCUACGAUUGACCUCGGAUCAGGUAGGGAUACCCGCUGAACUUAAGCAUAUCAAUA